GUUUGCCAAAUAUAUGCUCUUUGUGAAGGAUAUCCUCAGGUACCAUAAUAAUGUUUUGUGCCAAAGACCUCCAAAACUUCUUUCCUGGCUACUUUCAUCCACACGCUAGUUAAAUCACUUCUAUUCUUUCAAUCAUUUUGAUUAGUUGUUAGUGUUAGCAGGAUCUUUUAUGUCUACUUUUAAUGGUUUGAGCUUAUUAUAGGA
This 204-nucleotide unclassified non-coding RNA is filed under the name Hevea brasiliensis (rubber tree). The record is from RNAcentral. Lineage: Eukaryota; Viridiplantae; Streptophyta; Magnoliopsida; Malpighiales; Euphorbiaceae.